This 492-nucleotide ribosomal RNA is filed under the name uncultured bacterium. RNAcentral's name for it is "partial 16S ribosomal RNA". It matches the Rfam family "Bacterial small subunit ribosomal RNA", at positions 29 to 507 of the family's 1533-position model. The record is from RNAcentral.
AGUGAACGCUGGCGGUAGGCCUAACACAUGCAAGUCGAACGGCAGCACAGUAAGAGCUUGCUCUUACGGGUGGCGAGUGGCGGACGGGUGAGGAAUACAUCGGAAUCUACUUUUUCGUGGGGGAUAACGUAGGGAAACUUACGCUAAUACCGCAUACGACCUACGGGUGAAAGCAGGGGAUCUUCGGACCUUGCGCGAUUGAAUGAGCCGAUGUCGGAUUAGCUAGUUGGCGGGGUAAAGGCCCACCAAGGCGACGAUCCGUAGCUGGUCUGAGAGGAUGAUCAGACACACUGGAACUGAGACACGGUCCAGACUCCUACGGGAGGCAGCAGUGGGGAAUAUUGGACAAUGGGCGAAAGCAUGAUCCAGCAAUACCGCGUGGGUGAAGAAGGCCUUCGGGUUGUAAAGCCCUUUUGUUGGGAAAGAAAAGCAGCAGGUUAAUACCCCGCUGUUCUGACGGUACCCAAAGAAUAAGCACCGGCUAACUUCGUG